Long non-coding RNA from Lagenorhynchus albirostris (white-beaked dolphin), 3059 nucleotides. RefSeq lists it as uncharacterized. The record is from RefSeq and is a predicted model, not a curated record. Lineage: Eukaryota; Metazoa; Chordata; Mammalia; Artiodactyla; Delphinidae. The transcript has 4 exons.
GGGGCUACUCUUUGUUGUGGUGCGCGGGCUUCUCAUUGUGGUGGCUUCUCUUGUUGCGGAGCACGGGGUCUAGGCACGCAGGCUUCAGUAGCUGUGGCUUGCGGGCUCUAGAGCAUGGCUCAGUAGUUGUGGCACACUCCGCGGCAUGUGGGAUCUUCCUGGACCAGGGCUUGAACCUGUGUCCCCUGCACUGGCAGGCGAUUCUUACCCACUGCACCACCAGGGAAGCCCCAGCCUUUCUUUUUUAUUGAUGAGUGACUGUGCAGCAGUUAGUUGUGACUUUGGUGCUUUUGGGUUAGGUGAGCACAAGGCCUUCUACUCCAUCUUGUCUUCUCUCUGUGAGGCUAUUCUUUUCCCUGUUUCUAUUCUUGCAACUUUUCUGUGAGCUUGAAAUUAUUUCUAAACACAUGUUGAAAAAAUUUCAAGGGCGUUCGGAAUCUGUGGAUAUGGAAAGGUCUUCAGGACAUAUCAUAAGCGGAAAAACCAAAAACAACGCAAGGGUCAGAGUGAAAACACAAGGGGCUCCUCCUCAAAUUCCAAAGGGUCCAAGCUGAGAACAGAAAAAACCCAGAUGGGCGGGGCCCUAUCUGACUGAACUGAUACAACAACAAGGAAGGACCCCAGAGGCCUUAUGCCACCAGGUGGGAGGCUCCAGGGAAUCGUGUGUUCCGUGUGACUCCGUUUACAUGACAUCCUAGAACAGGUGGCGGCAGAGAGAGAAGCAGCCCGAAGGCCCGGGACGGCCUCCGAGGGGACGUGCACUCACCGUGCUGGCAGUGAACUCGGGGGGGUUGUCGUUCACGUCUGUCACCGUGAUGAUGGCUGUGGCCGUGUUGGACAGGCCAUAGUUCAGGUUUCCUUCCAUGUCUGUCGCUUGAACAACGACUGUGUACUGCUGAACUUUCUAGAAGGGCAUGAGGGGGAGGAAGACAGCAUCAGUUUGGGUUUUAGUUUACAGGCUGUAUAUACUUUCAUUAAAGAAAUACAUUCCCCGGACGGACUCAGCUGGGUCCCCGUCCUGCCCGGGGGCGCUCGGCAGGUGACCUGGCAGAAGAAAGUUCUCACUUGCGGUGGGUGGUGAGGUCUCUGCCUUCACCUCAGUGCCUGGCUUCCACGGGUGUAGAUCGAGGUAGAAAUAAGGAAAAGGGGGCCUGGAGCACACAGCACGCUGUGCUGGGUUUGCCAGACCAGGGGUGGACAGACCCCCAGACGUGUGUCUGCAGGGACCUCAUUUCUUGAGCAUCCUCAGUGUCUAGUUCAGCCUCAGUCCAGGAAUUCGAACAGGAGAAGGGAGCCAAGCCCUCUCCCCUCUCUCUGCGGGCACACAGACGCCAGCAUUACUCUGCGUCUGAACAGUCUGGAAGGAGUGGUUAGCGUUCAGAUGCAGGUGUGAAUUUUAAAAGGCAAAAUGAUGCUUGAUGGGGACGGCGAAUUUCACUGGGCACUGAAGGGGCUGCCCAGCCCUUCUCCACCUGGACCCACUGGUGCAGCAACGCCAGGUCAGCAGAGGGGGCCUUUCCACACCCCUGUUCUGAGCAGAGGCCGCAGGUGUUUCCAACUGUGACAGGUGGGGACGCUGAGUCUCAUGAUGUCCCCAGUGGCACACAGCAAACCAGAGGCUGCUGGAGUGGCCGCUGGGAUUCCUGAUGAGGGUUGGCGCCUCUGUGAUGGGUGAAUGCAGACGGCUCCGUGCCGCCAAGGCAGCGACGUCAGCCAGGAUGCCAGGAGGCCUCUUUCUGAAUGUGGCACACAAGGUACCCAAGGGCACGGCAGCGCCAUCCUUAACCCGCUUCCCCCCGACAGCUGCACGGUCAGUAUCCGUCUCCACGUGUGUGGACAGGUGCAUAUGCUCAGACAUCCAUCGGGCCCUUGACAUCAGGACCUCGCUCAGGGCAGGGGUCCCUCCUUCGCGACUGCUGUGCCUCUGGACCCCAGCAGGGAAUAAGUGCCCCUCCCUCUUGCCCAUCAAAGGCGGCUGGUCAUCUCUGGUCACUGCUGCCUCAGCAGGGACAUGGCAGCGACAGGCUGGGGACAGUACCGGCGCCAGGGUGGGUAGACUGACGAACCGAACCCAAACCUCAGGUCCCCGCGUGCCCUCGGCGAGGGUCCUGCCCGGAGCGUCCCGGACCCAGCCAGGCCUGAAGGCGCCCUGUGCGUUCAGUCACGUGAGCCAGUUAGCCCUCUCUUUUGUUUGAUCCUGGAGCUCGUUUCUGUCCUCUGCUACAGAAGGGGGUCUGACUGCCCCACCUGCGACUGUCUUUCUUUCUGUGAGGGACACCAUCACAGGAAGCACAGUGGGACGACCGGGCACCUCAUGCAGGAGAGAACAGGACUCCGCUGACGUUCUCCCAGCACCACCGGCCCCGACCCUCGGGGCACCGACGGGGCCUGAGGGCAGACUCUGGCCCGACUGUCGUGGCCUCAGUCGGGGUGUCAUGGUGAGCGCUCCGCCAUCGAGCCUCGCAGAGUCACCCCCACAGUGUCGACAGACACCACGCCCUCCGUCCAGCUCUGUCUUAGAUUAUCCCUUACAGCUCAGGCUUCCUUGUACUUCAAUAAACAUUUAGAAGCGUUUAUGCCGCUGCUAUAAAUGGCAAACGAGCAUCACCUUCCACAAAUAGAAAUUAGUCCUAAACACGACUGUGUAUUUUUAAAGGUCCAUCUGUGAGUGUCCAGGCCCAGUGCACAAAGCAAUGGGGGGACCCAGGCCGACGGAGCCACGCGACGCCCCCCGCAGCGGCUGCCCGUCACCUCUCGCCAUGUGGAGGACACGCAGGCUGAGAGGGGCCCGCCCCACCCCCGGCUGGUAGGCUAACACGGAGCGGGUCCCAGGGCUCCUCUGCUAGGACCUGCCCUGGCUCUGCUCCCUGGGCACGAGCAGAGGCCUACAGGCCACCGGUCCCGGGGCAGGCGGGGCCCGCUGGCCGCACGCUUUCUCCUCUGCCGCCCCCCAAAGCCACGGUGCCCUCCGGGCCGGUGCAGGGCUGUUCCGCCUGCCCUAGCAUUCUGCUCGCCCCCAUCAGCAAGGCCUUCCCUGCCUCCCUGAAUAAAAUACGAUC